Thunnus maccoyii (southern bluefin tuna) is the source of this 475-nucleotide long non-coding RNA. RefSeq lists it as uncharacterized. The record is from RefSeq and is a predicted model, not a curated record. The transcript is spliced from 3 exons. NCBI's taxonomy places the organism in Eukaryota, Metazoa, Chordata, Actinopteri, Scombriformes, Scombridae.
ACGUAUGACCCUGCUCACAGAAGUUUUUUUCCACCUGGUGCCACAGUAAGAGUCAUAUGUGGAGAGAAGUAUGGGAUUACUACCCGUCACGACCCCUCAGCAGUGUCUACUUGCCAAGACAACGGACAGUGGGACAUCAGACCGAUAUGCCACGAGGUUACAUGCUCCAAUCAAAAACACCGAGAUGUGUAUGACUGGAAUGUCUAUUGGAGACAGAGAAUAACAUUGAGUGACACUGCAAGCUAUAGGUGUAGGUCAGGGUACAAGAAAACAGAUGGCGCUGAUAAGCUCACAUGCACCAGAGAUGGGUGGAGUCCAGAUCCACCUUGUCAAGAGAUCACAUGUGAUAAACCUGAGAUUGAAAAUGGUUAUGUGAUUGGAGAAAUCCAAACGUACAAGGAAAAUGACAUCUUGGAUUUUGCAUGCAAUCCUAAAUAUAAACCCAGUGAAGAAAGAAAUUCAAAAUGCAUAAAAC